CGCAAGCCUGACGGAGCAAGACCGCGUGGGGGAGGAAGGCUCUUGGGUUGUAAACCCCUUUUCUCAGGGAAGAACAAAUGACGGUACCUGAGGAAUCAGCCUCGGAUAACUCCGUGCCAGCAGCCGCGGUAAUACGGAGGAGGCAAGCGUUAUCCGGAUUUAUUGGGCGUAAAGCGUCCGCAGGUGGCAGUUCAAGUCUGCUGUUAAAGACAGUGGCUCAACUACUGAAAGGCAGUAGAUACUGAAGGACUAGAGUGCGGUAGGGGCAGAGGGAAUUCCCGGUGUAGCGGUGAAAUGCGUAGAUUUCGGGAAGAACAUCGGUGGCGAAAGCGCUCUGCUGGGCCGCAACUGACGCUGAGGGACGAAAGCUAGGGGAGCG
Molecule: ribosomal RNA, 379 nt
Filed under: uncultured cyanobacterium
Lineage: Bacteria; Bacillati; Cyanobacteriota
Description: bacterial SSU rRNA
Rfam family: Bacterial small subunit ribosomal RNA
Source: RNAcentral